GCGCGACCCUUUUCCCUUAUCCCUCUCCUCUGUACUCUGGACCCUCUCUCCUUCCUUCCCAACUCCGCCGCUCUUCCGCUUCGUCUUUUUCCUUCACAGCGACCUGCAAGUUGCGUGUGUGGAAACCCUCAUGGUUUGAUCAAGAAGUACGGCCUCAUGUGCUGCAGGCAGUGCUUCUGCAGCAAUGCCAAGGAAAUCGGCUUCAUCAAGUACCGUUAAGUGGCUGAUAUUCAAACAUUCCAGGAGUCGAUGAUUUGGCCCAAGAUAAGUACUAGUAGUAGUGGUUUCUGAGUUCUCAUCAACUUUUAAGAAGAUAUUUUUGUUUUAGCUGAUCUGCUGUUGAACUUGAAUUGGUUGUCAGACUUAAGAAUAUUUGUUAUUAAUGAAUUAAAGUUUGAUUUAUGUUCU
Malus domestica (apple) is the source of this 408-nucleotide long non-coding RNA. RefSeq lists it as uncharacterized. NCBI's taxonomy places the organism in Eukaryota, Viridiplantae, Streptophyta, Magnoliopsida, Rosales, Rosaceae. The record is from RefSeq and is a predicted model, not a curated record.